Leptonychotes weddellii (Weddell seal) is the source of this 1603-nucleotide long non-coding RNA. RefSeq lists it as uncharacterized. The record is from RefSeq and is a predicted model, not a curated record. NCBI's taxonomy places the organism in Eukaryota, Metazoa, Chordata, Mammalia, Carnivora, Phocidae.
UUGACGAGGCGAUGUUUGUGCAAUCAGACAAUCAAAGCGCCUGAGAAAUUCUCUUCAGACCAGUUUUUCUCUCCUUACAAAGUGUCUGUUUAUUCGCAGGCAGAGCAUUCAUAUAUCUUUGUAUCUAAAGGGCUGCAGGCUUGAUCCAUCGCUUGGCUAAGAGGCUGGGGACACCCAGACAGCAAACAUUUCUCUAAAGGAGUCAGUGCUGUUUACUGGGCUUACAUUUCUAGUAUUGCAUUCCCUGGCUAGUCAGCUUUCCUCUCUCUCAAUACCACUGCCAAGCUACCUCUUUUUACUGGGGAAAGCAAUUGCACUAAUUCUACUCUACAAACAUCAGGCAGCCAAGUAGAGUUACAAAUGAAUGAGCUUAUUAUAAAGGUUUAGGGCAAAGAGAUGGGGAGGGAAAUUAUAAACAGAGAACUGCAUGUGGAUGUGUGUAAAAUUAUAGGGAGACGCUACUAUACGUCUCUUGUACCUAACAUUACAUUUCUGUUCAGGCAACCGAAAGAAACCACAAAGAUGCUUCAACACAUUAAGUGGCUUUUGUGAACUUCUUGAAAAAGCUGGUGAGGUUUACCAGCAGCUACUCAAAAAAGUUUCUCAGAAGGAAAGUAGAUAAAGUUGAUUUCUUCUGAACAUUUUCUAAGGUAUCCCUGUGUGGGGUUUUAGACCAACAGCUGUAAAGGGAAAUAAAAGAAGUAACCAACAACUUUCUCCCUGGCUUUUCCAGCUCUGCAAUCAACCAGUGUGCAGGUCUGCUCUACCCAGAUUUAUGAUCAGCUUUGUUCCGUCCCUUUGAGGUUUUCACCAAGAGCCUGAGAAGGGAUUUUCCCAAGGAGUUCCAUACCUGAAGCUCAUCAUCAGGGCAAGCCCUGAAGAGUGAAAGUAAAGGAUCUAGUGGGGGAUUGUGUGAAAUGGGAUGGCUGGAGUCAUCACAAUUAGAGGGGGGUCAAGGCUGAAACCUCUCUACCCCAUGGAAGAGGCCAACUGUCCUCAAGCCUUCUUGUGAUGAUUCAAGAUGAUAAAAUGCCUGCGUGAUGAGAUGACACGAGGGGAAUGACGUAGCAUUCAUUCGGCGGCUAUUGACCUUCUGACAUGUCAGAAGGAGGCUCGUCCACUUCUGGAGCACAGUUGACCAUGGGUAACUGAAACCACAGGUUAUCAAGUGUUCUGGUAAACAACUUUGGCCCAAAAUGGCGGACCUCGGGCAUGUGUGUGAUCCUCUUGAAGAUGCCACGAAAGAACUAAAGAGGAAAAAUAUUCUGGACAUAAAGAUAUACCUUUUGCUGGACCUCCAUGCUCCUCCCUCAGGGAAUGGUGAAGGGCCUCGAGGGUAAAGAUCAGAGAGGACACCAGGGAUUGGUAGAGUGUCCAGUUUGCCGACAAGUAUGUUGUGGUGGUUACCAGCCUAAGCCCUGCAGCCCAGCUGCCUGGGUUGAAUCUGGCCUCUGCGACAUAGGCGCUGUGUGACCUUGGCAAGUGUCUUCACCUCUCUGUGCCUUCUCAUGUCUCCAUCUAGAGAACAAUCAGCAGUGCUUGUCUAACAGGUUGUUCUGAGGGAAAAUGAGUCACUGGAAAUAAAGCACCUAAAACAGUAAAA